RNAcentral lists this ribosomal RNA (233 nucleotides) under uncultured bacterium. RNAcentral describes it as "partial 16S ribosomal RNA". It matches the Rfam family "Bacterial small subunit ribosomal RNA", at positions 99 to 334 of the family's 1533-position model. The record is from RNAcentral.
CGGACGGGUGAGUAAUGUCUGGGGAAACAGCCUGAUGGAGGGGGGUAACUACUGGAAACGGUAGCUAAUACCGCAUAACGUCGCAAGACCAAAGAGGGGGACCUUCGGGCCUCUUGCCAUCGGAUGUGCCCAGAUGGGAUUAGCUAGUAGGUGGGGUAACGGCUCACCUAGGCGACGAUCCCUAGCUGGUCUGAGAGGAUGACCAGCCACACUGGAACUGAGACACGGUCCAG